Molecule: non-coding RNA, 2060 nt
Organism: Vicugna pacos (alpaca)
Lineage: Eukaryota; Metazoa; Chordata; Mammalia; Artiodactyla; Camelidae
Source: RefSeq, a predicted model, not a curated record
CUCUUCCCAUCCUUUUAGAUCAAGCUGCCCUUUAAAGAAGCUGAGGACAUGAGAUGGGGACAUGCUGCACAAGGUGGCGCUCUUUUCGCUGGAUCUGACCCAUUGUCCCUGACCCUGAUGUGGAAGGUGUGGAGAAUAGGAGGGGGCAAAUCGCACCUAGGGUGAUUUCUCAUUUUCCACAAUGUCUUCUGGGCCUCCUGUUCCUUCUGCUGAUCAUACAGGGUGCACCAGUGCGGGUAGAUCUCAGGCUUCUUGGAGUGGCGAUCUUUGAGCAAUGAGGAAGAGGGGCUUCAGCCAGCGCCUCCCAGUUUGGUGACUGAGAUCAUAAUAAGAGUUCUCGGGAUUGUCGUGAUUUCAGAAAAUGUGGCAUUGACUCACUCUGAUUAGUAAAAACCAAGCAAAUAAGAAACGAGAUGUCCAGUUAAAUUCGUAUUUCAGGUAAUGAAGGCAAUAUUUAGGACAUACUCAUAUUUCAAAAAUUCUUCAUCGUUCAUCGGAAAUGCUAAUUGGGCAUCCCACUUUAUCUGGCAACUCCAACUAGGAGGAUCCCUGUGUUAAUUAAUACAAAUGACUCAUUAAGUACUGCCUGCAUAGCCCAGGCCUUAUAGAGAUAUUCUCUCAUAGCAACCCAACAAAGGGAGCUGGGCAGGGGUUGGCCUGUGGCAGAGGAAGCUCCUGAGCCUCAGGGAGGGAAAGCGACUUGUCCAAGGUCACACAGAGUUAGUGGCAGCCCUAGGGGUGAGUUUUGGGGUUCUGUGAGCUGGCGUUAAUGGGAAGGGACAGCCUGCUGCCCCUCCUCCUUUAGCCAGGCUCGCAGGGUGGCAAAAGUUAGGGGUCUUACCUGGUAGCAGGACAAAGGCAGGUGAACAGGAGCCAUGGCUUUUCUGAAUUCUGUGGUACAAAUGAGACAGCGAUUACCGAGGAGGGUUGAAGAAUCAUCCAUCCAGGCAUUCAUCGUUCAGCGUUUAGUGAACACUACACCAGGGAGGUAAAUAAGGCAUAGUUCCUGUCCUUAAGGGGCUCAUGGUUCUCUGGUACCUUGCUGCUCAGAAUGUGGCCAGUGGAGCAGCAGAACUGCCAUCGCCUGGGAGCUUCUCAGAAAUGCAGAAUCUCAGGCUCCACCCCAGACCUCCUGAAUCAGGAUCUUCAUUUGAGCAAGAUUCCUAUGCGUGUUGAAAUCUGAGAAGCGCUGGUCUAGCACCGCGGUGGUUCUCAGCCCUGGCUGCAUACUAGAAUUAUUUGGGGGAAUUUUUAACGUGCCUCAGCCCCACCUCAGAUGGGUUGAAUCAGAUUCUCUGAGGAAGGGGCCUAGGCAUUUUUGAAAGCUCCCCGGGGGAUUCUAAUGUGCAGCUCAUGUGAAAACCACUGGUUUCAUUCGGUGGUUCUCAAAUUUGAGCGUGCAUUAGAAACAAUUGGAGAGCUUGUUAAAACACCGAGUUCUUUAUGCCCAGCUGCAGACUCAUCAGCCCUAGAGUACUGAUUCAGUAAACCUGGGGCAGGGUCUGAGAAUUUGCAUUUCUUCUGGAAACAGACUUUGGGAAGCACUGGUCCAGCUGGUGAGACAGCACUGUUUAUUAGUGAUUAACAAGAGGAAACAAAGAUGAAGAUGGAUAAAGGCAUAGGUGGUACAGAUGAGGGGCCCCUAACCUGGUUGGGAGGAGCAGGGAAGAUUUCAGAGAUGAUUCAUAAGCUGAGUCUUCAGUCCAGGUAGGCGUUAGCCAGAUAGAUGCAUUAGGCAUUGGGAACAACUUAAAAUCUUGGAGAUGUGAGAGUUGGGUAGAGAGGAGGGUGCAGAUGAGGGAGCAGAAGCUGGUGAGACACAGAGACGUCCCUCUUCGAGGGCCCUGGAAACUUUCCUCGAGCGCUGUGGCGAGCCCUCAAAGUAUCCAGCAGUCCGCCCUGACCCCUCCCAUGGAUUUGCUGAAAUCAGCUGGACCCUGCCAGGGAGUGGGUGCCAGGGACCUUUCCUUCUCAGGCCCCUGUCCCUGACUCCACUCCUGUCCUCUCCAGCCUCACCUUUGGUCCUUUCUGGAUAUUCCAGCCACGGGCACUUGAAUAUU